RNAcentral lists this transfer RNA (73 nucleotides) under Buchnera aphidicola (Periphyllus lyropictus). RNAcentral describes it as "tRNA-Val". It matches the Rfam family "tRNA". From Rfam's summary of the family: Transfer RNA (tRNA) molecules are approximately 80 nucleotides in length. RNAcentral also lists the same sequence under 1 other name. The record is from RNAcentral. Lineage: Bacteria; Pseudomonadati; Pseudomonadota; Gammaproteobacteria; Enterobacterales; Erwiniaceae.
GGGUGAUUAGCUCAGUUGGUAGAGCGCCUCUCUUACACGGAGGAAGUCGGCGGUUCAAAUCCGUCAUUACCCA